AUGGGCGUAGCAGAUGCUGAUUUGGAAGCAAUGAUGGCAGAGCUCGGAUUGAAGGAAGGAGACCUGCAAGAUGUUGUGGUUGAGGAGGAGCAACUCCCUGAAGAAUCAACCAGAUGGAUGGCCCUAGCUAGGGUUCAUACUAAGAAAACGUACAACCAAUAUUGGUUUUUCAAGAACAUGAGGGUUGCUUGGGAUCUGGCCAAGGAGGUGAAAAUCAGACCGCUGGAGGACAAAUUGUAUACGCUGCAAUUCUCGUGCCUAGGCGACUGGGAA
This 273-nucleotide ribosomal RNA is filed under the name Triticum aestivum (bread wheat). RNAcentral describes it as "partial small subunit ribosomal RNA". The record is from RNAcentral. Lineage: Eukaryota; Viridiplantae; Streptophyta; Magnoliopsida; Poales; Poaceae.